GGAAGUGUGGCCGAGCGGUGAAGGCACCGGUUUGCUAAACCGGCAAGUGACGAAAGUUGCUUCAAGAGUUCGAAUCUCUUCGCUUCCGCCA
RNAcentral lists this transfer RNA (91 nucleotides) under Exilibacterium tricleocarpae. RNAcentral's name for it is "Cellvibrionaceae bacterium R142 tRNA-Ser". It matches the Rfam family "tRNA". From Rfam's summary of the family: Transfer RNA (tRNA) molecules are approximately 80 nucleotides in length. Their secondary structure includes four short double-helical elements and three loops (D, anti-codon, and T loops). The record is from RNAcentral. Lineage: Bacteria; Pseudomonadati; Pseudomonadota; Gammaproteobacteria; Cellvibrionales; Cellvibrionaceae.